Molecule: ribosomal RNA, 592 nt
Filed under: Brevibacterium sp. HPC697
Lineage: Bacteria; Bacillati; Actinomycetota; Actinomycetes; Micrococcales; Brevibacteriaceae
Description: bacterial SSU rRNA
Rfam family: Bacterial small subunit ribosomal RNA
Source: RNAcentral
GCUUAACACAUGCAAGUCNAACCCUAAUACCCACAACUUGCUGUUGAUGGAUGAGUGGCGAACGGGUGAGUAACACGUGAGUAACCUGCCCCUGAUUUCGGGAUAAGCCUGGGAAACUGGGUCUAAUACCGGAUACGACCACCUGACGCAUGUUGGGUGGUGGAAAGUUUUUCGAUCGGGGAUGGGCUCGCGGCCUAUCAGCUUGUUGGUGGGGUAAUGGCCUACCAAGGCGACGACGGGUAGCCGGCCUGAGAGGGCGACCGGCCACACUGGGACUGAGACACGGCCCAGACUCCUACGGGAGGCAGCAGUGGGGAAUAUUGCACAAUGGGGGAAACCCUGAUGCAGCGACGCAGCGUGCGGGAUGACGGCCUUCGGGUUGUAAACCGCUUUCAGCAGGGAAGAAGCGAAAGUGACGGUACCUGCAGAAGAAGUACCGGCUAACUACGUGCCAGCAGCCGCGGUAAUACGUAGGGUACGAGCGUUGUCCGGAAUUAUUGGGCGUAAAGAGCUCGUAAGUGGUUGGUCACUCUGCUGUGGAAACGCAACGCUUAACUUGCGCGUGCAGUGGGUACGGCUGACUAAAGUGCAU